GACCGCGUAUAUAGCUCAGUUGGCAGAGCAUUGGGCUAGUAUUCCAAAGGUCGUAGGUUCGAUUCCCACCGUGGCCA
Molecule: non-coding RNA, 77 nt
Organism: Paramuricea clavata
Lineage: Eukaryota; Metazoa; Cnidaria; Anthozoa; Malacalcyonacea; Plexauridae
Source: the annotation of a GenBank genome assembly